GGAGAAAACUAGUGAACCCUACACUGUCAUUUUCUGAAAAUUACCAGAUUUAGCUUUAGGAGCUGUGGUUCUUUUGUAUCGUCGCUGUUAGUAUGUGAUGAAUACUCAGAUUAGUGUAGAAUGAGUUUACGCUCGUAUUGGGAUGCCGAAAUUAUUUUACAGUAGUGUGUAGACUGUUUUGGACUGUCGAGUGACAUCGCAGAUGACGGUGAAUCCAGAUUGCUGUUUUUGCAUCAGUUGUGCCAAGAGCAUAUGAGUUUUGGUUGUAGGACCAGCUAGACCCAUUUGCUUUGAUUAUAGCCUGUGAGAGCCUGAUUGAGCUCGAUAGAGAGACACGCUUGCAUACUCGGUUGGGUAGCACCCAUGAGUGCCACU
Molecule: long non-coding RNA, 375 nt
Filed under: Ananas comosus (pineapple)
Lineage: Eukaryota; Viridiplantae; Streptophyta; Magnoliopsida; Poales; Bromeliaceae
Description: long non-coding RNA (ACOM_LNC006761)
Source: RNAcentral